CCUACGGGAGGCAGCAGUGGGGAAUAUUGGGCAAUGGGCGCAAGCCUGACCCAGCAACGCCGCGUGAAGGAAGAAGGCCUUCGGGUUGUAAACUUCUUUUCUGAGGGACGAAGAAAGUGACGGUACCUCAGGUAUAAGCCACGGCUAACGACGUGCCAGCAGCCGCGGUAAUACGGGGGUGGCAAACGUUAUCCGGAUUCAUUGGGUGUAAAGGGCGUGUAGGCGGGAAAGCAAGUCAGAUGUGAAAACUCAGGGCUCCAACCUGAGCGUGCCGUUGAAACUGGUUUUCUUGAGUGCUGGAGAGGCAAUCGGAAUGCGGGGUGUAGCGGUGAAAUGCGUAGAUAUAAGGAAGAACACCGGUGGCGAAGGCGGAUUGCUGGAGAGUAACUGACGCUGAGGCGCGAAAGCGUGGGGAGCAAACAGGAUUAGAUACCCUUGUAGUC
RNAcentral lists this ribosomal RNA (443 nucleotides) under uncultured bacterium. Its description in RNAcentral is "partial 16S ribosomal RNA". It matches the Rfam family "Bacterial small subunit ribosomal RNA", at positions 338 to 795 of the family's 1533-position model. The record is from RNAcentral.